GCCAAUAAAUUUCAAGAAGAAGAAGAAGAAGAAGAAACCUGCCGUACUGUUGCAUUUACCGGCCAGACAUGGAGGCGUUAAUCCGCUGUCAUCCUCCUUCUGCGGUUCUAAAUCUGAACUUUGUAACGACCUGACUUGUUUGCAGGAAGGUGAGUUUUGCUCCUGACCAGUUUUGUUCAGUGGAUGUUAUUUUAAAUCCGGAGUUUCUAACGGAUGAUCAGCAGCGUGUUGCUUCUCCCGUAAAGAUGGCGCCGUUUCCAGCGGUGAACGUGGUUUUAACCGUUCAGUGAUGGUUUUCAGUGACUUUGCUGCAGCCGUUUCCAGCGAGGCUCAACCUGCCGUGGUUCUGUCCUUUCCUACACGGUUUGCUACAGAAAAGUUGAGGCAGUUUGAGGCCCCGCUGCGGCUUUUCCCGGCAGGGUUUUAGGCCUCAGGAUGAUGAUGAUGAUGAAGAACUGGUAAGGCUCUUCUUCCGCCAUGCAGCUGCUGUGGUUCUGUCCUCUGCUGCUGCGCCACCUGCAGGCUGAAUGGUGUAAAUGUUUCUGCAUGAGGAGCUCCUUUCUGAUUGGCCGGCUGCUCUGGCAGCGGCUGAUCGGGUCUGGUUGACUUCCUGCUGAAACAUCAGACCUGAUCAAACGAUCUGGAUAAAUACAGUAUAAAUAAAGUUUCUAUGUAACUCUGAUGCAGUAGAUGUUUAUGGACAAGGCUGCAUUAAACUGAUAUUAUGUAUUUUAAUAUAAAACUAUAUAGAAGAAGAAUAAAUGGUGGGAAAUAAAAAGUAGCUGAAAUGAUGGAUUUUUAUAUUGAAAAACAUUUUUUCUCCUGUAUGUUUAUAAAUUUAAAUGUAUUCAUAUAUUUUCUAAGUUUGAAAUAAAGAAUCUGAACUGAAUGUUUAAUUUUUUUUCUGUAACAUCGUCUCUGUUGGGAUGGGCAGCAUAAAAGGGAUCGUCACUAAUUAUAAAACAUAUUUAUACCUUUCAUUUUUUAUUGUCUGCAGCAGAGACAAACAUCAAUUCAGAGGUUAAAUAUAUUUAUAGGCAUCAUGAUUUACAUAACAGGGAAUUUGUUAGGUUGUACAUAUUCUCUGCAUUAAAUUGUUUUUUCGAAGUUAUUACAUUUAUCAUGGAACAAUGAUAAAACUUGAGUAUGAAGAUGUAAAUUUUAAUGGAUCAAUAAGUCAAUGAUUGAUGCUGGGGUUGUUUAAUAAUUUGCCAUUAGUUUUCUCUGCAUUUCUUAAAUGUAUUUUCCAUAACCAAUCAGAACAUUUUCAGUUAAUGAUGAUCAUGCUGUGCAGCAGGUAAUAAACUUCAAUAAAUGUUUUAAAUCCA
Long non-coding RNA from Xiphophorus maculatus (southern platyfish), 1328 nucleotides. RefSeq lists it as uncharacterized. The transcript is spliced from 2 exons. The record is from RefSeq and is a predicted model, not a curated record. Lineage: Eukaryota; Metazoa; Chordata; Actinopteri; Cyprinodontiformes; Poeciliidae.